RNAcentral lists this ribosomal RNA (563 nucleotides) under uncultured bacterium. Its description in RNAcentral is "bacterial SSU rRNA". It matches the Rfam family "Bacterial small subunit ribosomal RNA", at positions 338 to 918 of the family's 1533-position model. The record is from RNAcentral.
CCUACGGGAGGCAGCAGUGGGGAAUCUUAGACAAUGGGCGCAAGCYUGAUCUAGCCAUGCCGCGUGAGUGAUGAAGGCCUUAGGGUCGUAAAGCUCUUUCACCUGUGAAGAUAAUGACGGUAGCAGGAAAAGAAACCCCGGCUAACUCCGUGCCAGCAGCCGCGGUAAUACGGAGGGGGUUAGCGUUGUUCGGAAUUACUGGGCGUAAAGCGUACGUAGGCGGAUUAGUAAGUUAGAGGUGAAAUCCCAUGGCUCAACCAUGGAACUGCCUUUAAAACUGCUAGUCUUGAGUUCGAGAGAGGUGAGUGGAAUUCCAAGUGUAGAGGUGAAAUUCGUAGAUAUUUGGAGGAACACCAGUGGCGAAGGCGGCUCACUGGCUCGAUACUGACGCUGAGGUACGAAAGUGUGGGGAGCAAACAGGAUUAGAUACCCUGGUAGUCCACACCGUAAACGAUGAAUGCCAGUCGUCGGGUAGCAUGCUGCUCGGUGACACACCUAACGGAUUAAGCAUUCCGCCUGGGGAAGKMCGGUCGCAAGAUUAAAACUCAAAGGAAUUGACGGGG